This 258-nucleotide ribosomal RNA is filed under the name uncultured bacterium. RNAcentral describes it as "partial 16S ribosomal RNA". It matches the Rfam family "Bacterial small subunit ribosomal RNA", at positions 75 to 334 of the family's 1533-position model. The record is from RNAcentral.
CUUGCUUUCUUUGCUGGCGACCGGCGCACGGGUGAGUAACACGUAUCCAACCUGUCCUUUACUCGGGGAUAGCCUUUCGAAAGAAAGAUUAAUACCCGAUAGCAUAAUGAUUCCGCAUGGUUUCAUUAUUAAAGGAUUCCGGUAAAGGAUGGGGAUGCGUUCCAUUAGGUUGUUGGUGGGGUAACGGCCCACCAAGCCUUCGAUGGAUAGGGGUUCUGAGAGGAAGGUCCCCCACAUUGGAACUGAGACACGGUCCAA